AAAUCACAAUGCGGGACUUGUAGUCUUGCAAUUGGAUUGAGAACAACGUAAAACUCUUAUCGAUAAGCCAUUGGAGGGCAAGUCUGGUGCCAGCAGCCGCGGUAAUUCCAGCUCCAAUAGCGUAUAUUAACGUUGUUGCAGUUAAAAAGCUCGUAGUUGAAGUGAGGGAGUGUGUGUUGUGAUCGAAUCGAUCGAGAGCAGUACAACCUCCCCCUUCCAAUGGGUGUAUUGGGGUAUUCAUUUACUUCAUUACUCCUUUGGUCGUUUACUGUGAGAAAAUUAGAGUGUUCAAAGCGGGCGUUUGUUUGAAUAGAUUAGCAUGGAAUAAUGAUUGAAGGCUUUCGUGUUCGAUUUGAUUGGUUUGUUCAUGGAAGCAAGGUUAAAAGGAACAGUUGGGGGUAUUCAUAUUCACUAGUUAGAGGUGAAAUUCUCGGAUUUAUGGAAGAUGA
RNAcentral lists this ribosomal RNA (449 nucleotides) under Blastocystis sp. RNAcentral describes it as "SSU rRNA". It matches the Rfam family "Eukaryotic small subunit ribosomal RNA", at positions 475 to 938 of the family's 1831-position model. The record is from RNAcentral. Lineage: Eukaryota; Bigyra; Opalinata; Blastocystidae.